CACGUAGGGCGCAAGCGUUGUCCGGAAUUAUUGGGCGUAAAGAGCUCGUAGGCGGUCUGUUGCGUCCGCUGUGAAAACUCGGGGCUUAACCCCGAGCCUGCAGUGGAUACGGGCAGACUAGAGGUAGGUAGGGGAGAAUGGAAUUCCCGGUGUAGCGGUGAAAUGCGCAGAUAUCAGGAGGAACACCUAUGGCGAAGGCAGCUCGCUGGGACGGUAUUGACGCUGAGACGCGAAAGCGUGGGGAGCGAACAGG
Molecule: ribosomal RNA, 253 nt
Filed under: uncultured bacterium
Lineage: Bacteria
Description: partial 16S ribosomal RNA
Rfam family: Bacterial small subunit ribosomal RNA
Source: RNAcentral